GCUUUCUCUUAUCUCACGACAACUCACUCUAUAUUAUAUAUUGGUAAAUUCUCUCUACUCACUGCCUCUCUCAAUUCUCUCACACAACUUCUUUAUCACUCUUUCUCUUUCUCAGCUCUUCUCCACAAUGUCGGUGCAAUUGUCUUCUGGUUUCUUCCAACAUGGCGGUAAAAAUGGAUUGAGUUAGAGUUAGUCCUUUUCUGGAUUGUUCCCAAUUGCUUGAAGAAGAAGGUUCAAGAAAUGGGCUGCAUUUUAUAUUUUUCUUUGGAAUUUUCUUUAUGUUCUGUGUUGUAUCUUCAAAUAUUACUCCUUUCCACAUAAGCCCUUUUGAAGGUUUCUCAAGACUCAGGAGUUGAAAUAGUUACCGCUAGAAGGAAUUGCUGCCUGAAUUUCUAGCACAACAUUGUGUCCGACAUAGCAAAAGCCACAUCACCCAAUGCAUUGAAAAAGUUAAAUCUCGUUGUAGUCAAGGCUCCUAGGCCAUAAUUCCUAUUUGCCGGAGCUAAGAUCAAGAUGAAAAGGGUGAGCUUGAUCUGACUGAAGGAAU
This 547-nucleotide long non-coding RNA is filed under the name Olea europaea subsp. europaea. The record is from RNAcentral. Lineage: Eukaryota; Viridiplantae; Streptophyta; Magnoliopsida; Lamiales; Oleaceae.